RNAcentral lists this long non-coding RNA (1016 nucleotides) under Salvia miltiorrhiza (redroot sage). Its description in RNAcentral is "long non-coding RNA (SMIL_LNC008880)". Lineage: Eukaryota; Viridiplantae; Streptophyta; Magnoliopsida; Lamiales; Lamiaceae. The record is from RNAcentral.
AAUUAUCAAACUACUGAAAUGGCGUCACUCCCUGGAAUAAACUAAUAUGUAAUCAUUGCAAAUCUUAAAUUUCCUAUUUAGUUGUUGCUUGAGGCUACAAUAAUUCAUACGAAAAUCAAAAUAAUUCAUACGUAAACCAAAAAUAAUUCGUACGCAAAUAAAAAAUAACUCGUACGAAAAUAAAAAAAUAAUUCACGCCUCAUCAUCCCCAGUUGAACGCCGAACAUAGCGCCGCCGCCAAAUCCAGACGCCGAGCAGCAGUGCCGCCACCACCACUGCUCACGCCUCUUCACACCACCUCACACCAGGUAUAUCUCUCACGCCUCUCACAUCAGGUUUCUUCGUCAUUCAUCCUCACACCACCCCUGUCCGCCACUCCUGCACAUAGUGCCGCCGCCAGAUCCAGACGACGAGCAGCAGCGCUGCCACCACCACUGCUCACGCCAAUCCAUCCCCGUCCAUUGUCGCGUCGUCCAGAUGCGAUUCAGAACCACCGCGCCACUCUUCACCAGGACGUGCGACGACAACCGUCCUCUACCUGUGCCGAUUGUCAGGUGUUUCUGGAACAAAAAAACUUUUCCAAAAAAUAAUAGAGAACAUGCGAUUCAUCUCACCCGAUGUAUUACCCUUGGUCCGCGCCAUUGUCGUCGCCUUGUAAACGGAAUCAGAAUAUCACACUCGACGGAAAUGGAUGAACUUUAGGUUCUACUCCUCCACUGGCGCUCUUAUUUGGUUUUAGAGAAUAUGAGAAGAUGAGUUUUUGAUUCAAAUCUUCAAUUCCCUAAUUAAUUGUGAGAGAAUCGGAAAGUUGUGGGUGUAGAUAUGGAAGGUCAACAUAAUAUGUCAAUAAUACCCUUCUGUGAAACAAACGUAUGAAUAUUUUGUUUUAUCUAAUGAACUAUGCAAUCCACCUAAAAAUUAAUCCAAACCGUUGAUUACCAUAUUAUCUACGAUCAUAAAUAAGUCUUAUUUUAUAGACUAAGGACAGUUCAUUGAAUAGCACUACCCUAUAUAUA